Pectinophora gossypiella (pink bollworm) is the source of this 4225-nucleotide RNA transcript. RefSeq lists it as uncharacterized. The record is from RefSeq and is a predicted model, not a curated record. NCBI's taxonomy places the organism in Eukaryota, Metazoa, Arthropoda, Insecta, Lepidoptera, Gelechiidae. The transcript is spliced from 6 exons.
GUGGCAGCGAUUGCACGUCGCUCCACGCUCCGUUCGACUCUAGCGCGCUGUCUCGAACGAACCGGUUCAGCCGGUCUAUGUGAUUACACGUUAUGCGACCAAUAAUUGUGUAGUGUUAUCCGAACCACUAAAAGCUUUUCAGCACUAUGGACCUUGUGCCUCUUUAUCUCUCGAACAAAGUUUAAAGUUAAGUGCGAUUCCACAUACUUUCUGUGAAGUGUAAGUUUACUUGAGAAGUUUUCUGUCGCUGUCCCCAGUGUUUUGGAGUUGUUAGUGACAGAGGAUUUUUGAAAGGAAUUUCGUGAUUUUACUGUGCCGCGUUUGAUUUGGUUGUGUCAAGUUUUACUCGCAUUGGAUCUUGAAUUUUAUAAAGUUUUAACUUUUUGAUUUUGAAAGGAGUUACCGACGUGACAACAUUCUAUGACGACGGACUUACAGGAAAACCGUGGCAGUCACCUCUUCAAAGAUGGCAUAAGAUAUUGAUUGGAUAUGAGAGGAUGAGCCAUGGAAUCACGAAGCGCGCCGCCAAGCCCCGAGGAGUCGGGGGAGGCGGUGUUCGAGUCUCAAUGCGGGCGAUAUCCGCAGCCGAGCUUGCAGAGGAGUUUUGCCAGCUGUCGCGAGGCGGGCAGGCCGCGCCCGCACCAUCGCCACGCCGUCUCCGAGCCAGCGCGUCCCGACGAUCGCGUGCUCACCACCGCCGAGGUUCACGACUAUCCCUCCUCGGAGUCCGGCAUCGCAGCCGACUGCCCGCAUCCCCACACCAGUAACGCUGACGACAGCCCCUGCUAUGACAGAUCCGAUUACGAAGGCAACUCCAACUAUAGUUUGAGGCGAACUCCCGACUAUCACCACACUCUCGACUGUCAACACCGUCCUGUAGAUUAUCGUAGUCAUACGCCAGAUUUUAACCAUGGACAUGGGUCAGAUUGUGACCGUGGUCACCCUCGAUCUCAGACGUCGCGUCGACCUCAUAGGAAACAUAGAAGAGAAGAAGACGACGGCGCACAGUCGCUAGACGAGCGCUGCGCGCGAGAUCUUGAUGAAAUCUUACCAGCGCGACUUGCAGCCGUUAAUCUGUCCAGGGAACCUCCUCCACAAUCUUGGAAUAGAAGCAACAUUGCUGCCACUAUGGAAAGGUUUGAACCAGUCGACUACUCUUACGCCUACUAUGAUCAUCACUUAUCAAUGCCCUCGUCGUCCAGAAAGGCCAACAGACAACGUGGGCGUGGAGGCGUAGCUCGAGACCGUGCUGAACGUGCAGAACGAACAUCCCGUCAUAAUUAUGUCACUAGAUACGGAACUGAAGAAAACAUUUACGAGGAAAUUACUGAUGGAUCUAGGACAUGUCCUAAACAUCGUUAUGUCCCUCGACAAUCCCUCGUAUCAUUAGACAGAAGCGUUGUUGAAGAAGAAGUGCGUAGGGUGGAAUCAAGACAUAAACGGAUUUUGGGCGAACUAAAUCUUAGCGUGGAAGCUAUGUUAAUGCCAGAAUGCGAGUCCCCCGACUCGGAACGUGCGGAAGAUAGAGAUAAUAUCGAAGAAUUGAUGAGGGUGGGACCGACGGACGAACUACUUUCACCAGCUAGCUGUAAUCCUCCAGAUUUAGAUAGUGGAUUUAGUGGUAGCAGUAGUGGCGCAAGCUAUGUCGGUAGUUUGAGGAGGAAACCUACAGGCUCGGUGCCUCAUUUACCAGCGGUAGCGUACGGGACACGCGGAGCUGGCGUUCGUAUUCUGGGUGCUGACGAAUGUGGUCUGCGCUGUCCACGAGACGUAACUUCACCACGAAGUUCAAGCUGCGGCGAUGCCAAAACUACUGGUUUUUGGAAUAAAAAAGCUUGGAAGAAAAUAUCGGGUUUCUCUAGUUCUAACAGCAUCAACAAAGCAGGACUUACUGGUCUGCUCGUUAGGUACACUUUCCGGCGUAAGUCCGGCUCGCAGGGCUCUCAGGGCAAGCGGCGUACCGAGCCCGUCAAAUGCGAUGCGUGCCUCUCACAACGAUGUUAGCCGUAUCAUGAUGAAGCCUGUAGGCCAAGCAGAGCUAAAUCCAGAACAUCUACUAUACCAUACAGCUACUCCAACGGAAAAUUGGUGGUGCCGCUGGAUUCCCUAGCACAGAGCUGAGGGGCCGGGACCCCUCGCCAUCCCCGCCUCCUGCUCCUCCGAGGGCCUCCUCAACGCUAAAGGACAGCGAUGAAUUCGAAAGUGGUGGCUUAAUGAACGCCUUCAAGAAAGAAGGAGCGAGUGUGCAUUCGGCUCACGUCCGUGAACUUGCCUAUUCCGCUCUAACGCAAUUUGUUUCGCCGCGUUUCGAUCGCGUCCGGGGAAUUAUCGUAAACAUUCCAUUGGACUCCAACUAAUGUAUCAGUGUCGACACCUCCCAGUGCGUCUCAAAGACAAGCUAUAGGUGUGUCAUCAAGUUUGUAAAUAGCGUGGACUUUACCGAGGCAAGUAUACGUUGAAGUGAUAGUAAAGCCUAAUGAAUUAUUUGUAUUGUUAUGACGAUCGUUUCAUAGAAACGUAAUGACUACGUUGUUGUUACUUAUCAAUUUUUAGUAGGUAAUAGGUACAUGAAAAGGCUGAAACAGUUGAAUCCGAUUUUGUACAUGGUGAAUAGGAGUUGCCAUCUAGAUAUAGACAUUUUGGAUUCGUGUUUGUUCUUUGAAACUUGUAACAAUACUCAGUCUUAAGCAGUGUGUAAUUGGUCUAAUAUUUCUCUAUAACGUCAUUCAUGUCUUUAUUUAUUGUAAUAGAGCGCCUUUUAUCACAAAAAUAAGAAAAUCAACAAAAACAACAUUUUAAAAAAUGGUGCUUCAUAUUUUUGCAAAUCAAUAUGCUACCUAUAGCUAUUUAUUUAUAUCGCUUAAAGAUUAAUUUAUCGAAUUUGUAAUUAUGUACCAUAGAACAUUCGAAGCAUUUUACCCGAUUUUAAAAGAGUGUAGUAAUGUGGUCCAAACCUAUUUAUUUGUAAACAAACCCAUUAGGAAUGUGCAAUUUUCAUUUUAUUAAAAAGCAAAUUUCUGAAGAUGGCGUGAUUGUUAAUAACUGUUAGAAAGUAAUUGUAUAUUAUGUAAAUAUUGUCCAAAAACUAUACGGUGCACUUUUAUAAGUUACUCGUUUAAAUAAAUAUGAUACAGUCACUUACAUAAUUCUUUAUGAUAUUAAUUUGGUAAUUUCUCUCUUCUUAUAGAAAAAUAAUAUUAUCAUACUUCGCCCAAAGUACAGAGACUACUAUUGAUUGUGUUGUAUGUAUUGUUUCAAUUAAAACUGUCAAAUAGAAAUGAUGUAUUACAUUAUUGACUUUCGGUUUAAACUUCACUAAGAUUAUCUUAUUUAUUCUACGCACUAUAAUUUUAUAUCGAUGUUACAUAGCACCAAAUAAAUGUUUGUCCAAUUGAAUUCAUAAACUUUACUUAUUACCAAUGCAUUUACUAAAAAGUUUUCAUCGAGAUUUAGAAAUACAGGGUGUUAGUGACAUCGUAACUUAUACUGGGGGAUGGUUCAGACCAUAAUUCUGAGUGGAAUUUUCCGUCGCAAAACUCAUGAUUACUUUUUUAAUUAUUUUCAAUUCUAAACUUUUGCGAUAAAAAAAUCCACUAGAUAAUUAACUCAGAAUAAUGAGCUGAAUCAUCCCCCUCAAUAUUCGUUACGAUAUCACUUACAUCCCGUACGAGUACGUACAGGUAGUCAUACAAGUACGUAUGGGUGUUAGUAACAUCGUAACGAAUAUUAAGGGGGAUGAUUUAGACCAUGAUUCUGAGUUGAUAUCAAGUGGAAUUUCUUGCCGGAAAAUUCAUGAAAAUGUUAGUGUUUUUUUUUAUUAUUUUCAGUUCCAUACUUUUGCGACGGAAAAAUUUGAUACUUGAUAUCAACUCAUAAGAAUCAUGAUCUGAAUCACCCCUCAAAGUUUUUGUUACGUUGUCGCUAACACCGUGUAUAUACCCAUCUCGUUCUAAUAUAGUAACAAACAUAAAAUACAAGAAUGAGACGGAUAUAGGUUUCUUAAUGUUGCUGAUAAUUCUUUACAGUGUCAUACAGAAUAUCAUGUAAAUAUAAAUGUAAAAUUGUUUGAAGCAGUCAGUUUGGUUUAUAUAAUUAUAAGCUCGACUGAUACGCGAUAAAUAUUCUCAAUCAAUGUUACACGAAAUGCAUAUUUCUUUAACUGUAUGUAAUUAGUGAUCGUGUUCAAGUCAAAAGAGAUUUUUAUUAAAUAAAUCGAUAAAAAGUC